AUCGCUUCUCGGCCUUUUGGCUAAGAUCAAGUGUAGUACCUGGUGUUUCCCAGGUGGCGCUAGUGGUAAAAAACCUGGCUGCCCACGCAGAAGACAUAAGAGAUGCAGGUUCCUUCCCUGGGUUGGGACGAUCUCCUGGAGGAGAGCACAACAA
This is a small nuclear RNA of Cervus hanglu yarkandensis (Yarkand deer), 154 nucleotides long. Its record names the gene U2. It matches the Rfam family "U2 spliceosomal RNA". Rfam says of the family: U2 is a small nuclear RNA (snRNA) component of the spliceosome (involved in pre-mRNA splicing). The record is from Ensembl. NCBI's taxonomy places the organism in Eukaryota, Metazoa, Chordata, Mammalia, Artiodactyla, Cervidae.